CAGGAAUCAGGAAACAUUUAUUAGCCAAAAUAUGUCAAACAUACAAGGAAUUUGUCUUGGCGGUUAGUGCGCGACAGUAGACAGACAAGACAACAGUGCACAGGUAAUAAAAUAAAGUGGAAUGAAAUGCUAAUGCAAUGGGUUAGUAAGAAUAAGGCUAAGGCUAUGGGUUAGUAUAAAACAGGGGAAUAAAGUUAAACAAAUUUUAAAUAUUAAAAAGUUGAAAAAUAUUAAGCAUAAAGUGCACUAACAAACAAGUAACAGACAAGAGACAAAGUGACAAGUGACAAAGUGAUGAAUUGCAGUUAAAGUGGCAUGUGCAGUGUGAGGGGGAGUGACCGGUGGAGUGUUAUAGUCAGGCAGUGGGGGACCGGGCUCUGUUGAUGAGCCCGACUGCCGACGGGAAGAAACUGUUCGUGUGGCGGGAGGUCUUAGUCCUGAUGGACCUCAGCCUCCUGCCAGAUGGAAGGGGCACAAACAGUUUUUGUCCGGGGUGAGAGGGGUCGGCCGCGAUCUUUUUAGCUCGCUUCAGAGACCUGGAAGCGAACAAGUCCUCCAGGGACGGCAGAUUGCAGCCGAUCACCCUCUCUGCAGAGCGGAUGACACGCUGAAGCCUGCCCGCAGAGAAUAUACAAAGAAUAUUUGUAUAUUGUAUUUGAACGUUUGUAAGAGUGACUUCUCACUAACUCCGACCAAGUUAACUACUCAGGCAACAGCACUCGAUAAAAUAUUUGAACCCAGUUAACGCAACUUUGUUUAAGUCUUCCGAAAGUAACCAAAAUUGACCCUGGAAACGAAACCGCCACCAGCUGCAGUAAGUUAGAUCGGAGAAAGCGAGACGCAUUGGAAGUAAAACAAACAGACGCUCGACAUACAGCGGAGAACUGUGCAGAGGAUUUCCUCCACGUGUCAAACAGAAGGGGGACAUCCACCGAUCCAGCAGCAUCUCGUGGGGGCGGUGAGGAGAGUGUCACCGGGGAUCAAGCGGAUCCAUGUCAGUGUGCCGACACUGUGGAGAAACCGCACUGCUGCGCCUCAACCUCCUCCGAGCAUGUCGGAGGAGGCCCGUCCACCUGUGAGCAGUUUGGGAGUUUCAGUAAAAGAAGCAGUGUGACGACUCAUCAGUGGAUUCACACUGUGAAGCCCUUCAUCUGUGACCAAUGUGGGAGGAGUUUUCGCCAGUAUUCAUCUUGGUCGAAUCAUCAAAGCAUUCACACUGAAAAAUGAAGUGUGGCCUGUGAGUCUCUGGAGUAAAGCGUUAGCCUGGAUUGUUUGCAAGUUCACAUUCAAAUUAAAAUGUUUAUUCUGAAUACAA
This is a long non-coding RNA of Gasterosteus aculeatus aculeatus (three-spined stickleback), 1315 nucleotides long. Lineage: Eukaryota; Metazoa; Chordata; Actinopteri; Perciformes; Gasterosteidae. The record is from Ensembl.